GUCCGUACAAGGACCAUACUUGACUUACGAGGACUCGUUCCUCGCCAUCACUGGUGGAGCUGGAAUCUUUGAAGGUGCGUACGGACAGGUUAAGCUUCAACAGCUUGUGUAUCCGACAAAACUGUUCUACACUUUUUACCUUAAAGGGUUGGCUAAUGAUUUGCCGUUAGAGCUUACCGGAACGCCGGUACCACCGUCUAAGGACGUGGAGCCGGCGCCGGAAGCUAAGGCGCUUGAGCCUAGCGGAGUUAUAAGUAACUAUACCAACUAAUGCAUAUAAUUUGUCCUAUAUGUUUCUUGUGUCGUUGUGUGAUGAUAGAAUCUUUGGGGAAUAAUAUCUCUAGUAUUUUUUUUUUGCCGUCUGAAAUAAAAUAUCAAGAAAAUUUGUGAACAGAUUAUUUUUAGAAGAAUGUGAUGAAAAGUCUUUGCAAUCCCUUCUCAAUCUCAAUUAUUUUGAAUUUAAAGUUGUUUAGUUAGAAAAAAUGAUAUUAUGUAUUGCAUUAAAAAUUCAAAUAAAAUAACUUAUAAAUAUUUAAACUAUAGUAUAUCUUAAAUGGCAGCUCAACCGUCUCCUAUGGAAUAUCAUUUUUAAUCAUAUCUUAACAAAUCCAAGAAACAACGAAACGAAAAAAUUGUAUCAUUUUGAUCGAGAGAAGAUUUUCGGGUGUCAAAAAAAUAAAAAGAUCUAGAUGUCAUGCCCCGAUAAAUGUAAAGGAGUACAAUUAAUACUGCUACGAAAAAUACAUGCAAUUAAAAAGCAGUUUUAAGGUAAAGUUGACUAUAAGAAAUUGGUUGAUUUUUGAUAUAUAAGUGGUUGACUUACAAUCUCCUAUAAUGUAAAAUGUAACAUGUAAGUGAAUGUUCAUCAAAUUCUAGAGAUGCUUUCUUUGUUGUAUUUUUUAUUUUGUUUGGUAGUUCUUUUAUUUGUAUUUUUUUUUUAUUUUCCUGUUUUCCUUGUUUUUUCAUUAAUCCCUGUUACAAAUUUAAAAAUGAUAUAUAAAUACUUUAACAUUUUACCAAAAAUAAAAAAAAAAAUAAAAAAAAUUCUAGUGAUGCUAUUUGAUGACAAGGAGGAGAAUAUGGUUGACAUUGAUGGCGAAGUUAAUGAUCUACAUGUCACACUCCUCAUUUUACAAAUAGUUGACAGUGGUUGUGAGUUUUCCAUCAAAUACCAAUUAGGAGUUGCUGAUAAAAACUAGAAGAAGACCAUAAUAGUAAAGUUGACAAUGAUAAUUAUUUACGGCGAUAGAUGAUACUAAGAAGAGAUUGGCGGAGAAAUGGAUGGAAGGAAAAUAAGUUGAGAAAAAAAAAAAAAAAACCAAUUUACACUAAAAUGUUAGCGGAAUUGACGAGUUUUGUUGGAUUUUAUUUCUGGACCGUCGCUCCUUUACCCCAUCUUUUGGGCCGGACCUGUUCGAAAAGUAACAGUCAUACGGUCAUACUAUUUUGUAGUGCAAUUUAAAAUACUUUGUGUGUACACGAUAAUUUGACACAACCGACCAUGUUAUAUAUCGGGAAAAAUGUCAUUUAAAUCACCGGUUUACCAUUUUCGUUAGUUUAAAUCAUGAACUCUAUACCUCGUGAUUUAAAUCCUUAAUUUUAUGUUGAUUUUCAUUUUAAUCAUAGAUUCUCAUUGACAAAACCAAUUGAGGCAUGCAUAUCGCUAACUGGCUAAACGAAUCAAUAAGACGAUGUCAUCGCAUAACUGGUACUUCGAAGCCAUCACAUAAUUUUUCUUCUACACCAACAUGGUUUUCAUCUUACUCUUCGUCAGAUUGUUCUGUUUAGCAAGUUAACGAUAUGCCUCAAUUGACUUAGUUAAUGAGAAUUCGUGAUUAAAUUGAAAAUCAACAUAAAAUUAAGGAUUUAAAUCAUCAGGUCCACAUAACAUUAAGGAUUUAAAUUACCAGAUUCAGAAUUUAUGCUUUAAACCAACGAAAAUGAGAAAAUGAUUUAAAUGACAUAUUUUCCGUUAUAUAUCUCACUAAAACAAUCUUAUCAACAAGAGUUUAAAAACAUGGGCCACAUGGCUACGUUUAUAUCUUUUGACUAUUUUAGUAUCUUCCCAGUACUUUGAGAUCUAUGACUCCUUAAUAAUGAAUGUUACACCGUUUUAAGUCAAUAAAUAAGAAAUACAUAAAAUUCUCUAGCUAACGCUUUUAGACCAUCGAAACCGAGUGGAAACUACACAAAGCAUCUUUUGACAUAUACGCACGUGUAACUUCAUCAUCGUCCAAUAUAAAAAGACUCAUCACUCAACUCAACAACCAUAAAACCAAAUCUCAAUCUCUUCUUUAAUAUCAAAGUUUCAAAAGUCUUCUUGAUCAAUGGCUUCUUCUUCUGCUGCUAUGUCUCUCGAAUCCAUCUCUAUGACAACUCUCAACAAUCUCUCCCGUAAUCAUCAAUCUCAUAGAAGCUCUCUUCUUGGUUUCUCAAGAUCUUUCCAAAACCUUGGGAUCUCAUCUAACGGUCCAGAUUUCUUCUCCCGAUCAAGAUCUACUACUUCCAAGAACCUCAACGUUACUCGAGCUUUCUUCUGGAAUUGGGGCAAGAAGACUGAAAACUCCAGACCAAGUAAGUUUAUAGAUCCCUUUGUCUUUUAGUACACUAUGACUAAGUCAACGCCUGUUAAUCAGAUAUUUUUCGUAGAUUUUAGACUAAUCAAGAUCAAAUUUUCAUGUUAAAGACUAAUCUUUUUUAUUAGCUCAAAAAAAAAAAAAAAUUGUGAUCUUAGAUCUUUAAAUCAUAAAAUUGAUUUAUCUAAAGAUAAUCUCAGAUCUUUAAAAACAAAGUUUCUAAUUCAAAAAUUGUCAUUUAUCUUCUUUUGAAAAUUCAUAUAUAGUUUUCAUUUUUAUGAAAUAUUUACAUUCUUAGCAAAAAAAAAAAAAAAAAAAAAUUCAUAUAUUCAAGAAACAGAGGUCAAAUUUCUUUGUAAAAAGAGCUCCCAAAAAAAACAACUUAAAAUUGACAUUAAUUCUUCUGAAAAUACAUAAAUUUAAGAAACCAAGAUCAAAUUUCUCUGUAAAAAGAGCUCAAAAAAAAAAAAACCAACUCAAAAGUUGACAUUAAUUCUUAUAAAAAUACAUAAAUAUAGGAAACCAAGAUCAAAUUUCUUGUAAAAACUGACGUAUAAGUUAAAAAUUGUAUACCAAAUUCAUAAAUUCGAGUUUUAUUCAGGUAAGAUCCAAGAACUAAACGUGUACGAGCUAAACGAAGGAGAUAGAAACAGUCCAGCAGUUCUUAAACUCGGCAAAAAACCAACAGAGCUCUGUCUCGGCGAUCUUGUACCAUUCACCAACAAACUCUACACCGGCGAUCUCAAGAAACGCGUCGGAAUCACCGCCGGUCUCUGCGUCUUGAUCCAACACGUUCCGGAGAAGAACGGUGACAGAUUCGAAGCUAACUACAGCUUCUACUUCGGAGACUAUGGUCACUUGUCUGUACAAGGACAGUACUUGACUUACGAAGACACGUUUCUCGCUAUCACUGGCGGCUCAGGAAUCUUUGAAGGUGCGUACGGACAGGUUAAGCUUCGUCAGCUUGUGUAUCCGACAAAACUGUUCUACACUUUUUACCUUAAAGGGUUGGCUAAUGAUUUGCCGCUGGAGCUAACUGGAACGGCGGUUACGCCGUCGAAGGAUGUGAAACCGGCCCCGGAAGCUAAGGCAACGGAGCCUAGCG
This 3681-nucleotide long non-coding RNA is filed under the name Arabidopsis lyrata. RNAcentral's name for it is "long non-coding RNA (ALYR_LNC001551)". The record is from RNAcentral. Lineage: Eukaryota; Viridiplantae; Streptophyta; Magnoliopsida; Brassicales; Brassicaceae.